AAACCGUUCGAAGCGAAGCGAAUAAAGAAGGCAAUUCGCCCCGUCCGAUUCAGUCGCGUGCGGUUCGGUUGCGUGCCCGAUCUCGAUCUUCCGGGACGAAUCGUGCACCUCCUGCCACCGUUCGCGGCGCACUUCGGUUGGGCGAGCGUCAACGUCGGUAGACGUACGAGCGAAAAGUUGCGAGAACGGUAGGUCCUUUGGGGCCGGUAAGCCUCGCAACCAUCUAACUCGUACUCCACCGAGGCGGCAGCAUCGCGCGCCUCUGGCUGAUGUUCUGUGUCGUAGUGUCGGGUGUGGAACGUGGCGGACGGCUUUGCCUGUGCGCUCGAUCCGCCACCGUGCAACGGCGCGUCGAACAUACACCAAGCGUUGAUGAGGACGUUUGACGAGCACACGGCUUUAUCCGACCCGUCUUGAAACACGGACCAAGGAGUCUAACAUGUUCGCAAGUCACUGGGUGCUUGAAACCCGUGGGCGUAAUGAAAGUGAAGGCAAUCUAUUGCUUAGAUGAGAACCCCUGUGUCUGUGCAUGGGGAUGCAUCAUCGACCGACCUGUUCUACUCCUAGAAAGGUUUGAGUAAGAGCGUACCUGUUGGGACCCGAAAGAUGGUGAACUAUGCCUGAAUAGGGUGAAGCCAGCGGAAACACUGGUGGAAGCUCGUAGCGGUUCUGACGUGCAAAUCGAUCGUCGAAUUUGGGUAUAGCGGCGAAAGACUAAUCGAACCAUCUAGUAGCUGGUUCCCUCCGAAGUUUCCCACAGGAUAGCUGGGACGUUGGCAGU
RNAcentral lists this ribosomal RNA (781 nucleotides) under Gyrophyllum sibogae. Its description in RNAcentral is "eukaryotic LSU rRNA". It matches the Rfam family "Eukaryotic large subunit ribosomal RNA", at positions 402 to 999 of the family's 3401-position model. Lineage: Eukaryota; Metazoa; Cnidaria; Anthozoa; Scleralcyonacea; Pennatulidae. The record is from RNAcentral.